AUACGGAGGAUCCGAGCGUUAUCCGGAUUUAUUGGGUUUAAAGGGAGCGUAGGUGGAUUGUUAAGUCAGUUGUGAAAGUUUGCGGCUCAACCGUAAAAUUGCAGUUGAAACUGGCAGCCUUGAGUACAGUAGAGGUGGGCGGAAUUCGUGGUGUAGCGGUGAAAUGCUUAGAUAUCACGAAGAACUCCGAUUGCGAAGGCAGCUCACUAGACUGUUACUGACACUGAUGCUCGAAAGUGUGGGUAUCAAACAGGAUUAGAUACCCUGGUAGUCCACACAGUAAACGAUGAAUACUCGCUGUUUGCGAUAUACAGUAAGCGGCCAAGCGAAAGCAUUAAGUAUUCCACCUGGGGAGUACGCCGGCAACGGUGAAACUCAAAGGAAUUGACGGGG
Molecule: ribosomal RNA, 393 nt
Filed under: uncultured bacterium
Lineage: Bacteria
Description: partial 16S ribosomal RNA
Rfam family: Bacterial small subunit ribosomal RNA
Source: RNAcentral